GAACGCUGGCGGCGUGCUUAACACAUGCAAGUCGAGCGGAAAGGCCCUUCGGGGUACUCGAGCGGCGAACGGGUGAGUAACACGUGAGCAACCUGCCCCUGACUCUGGGAUAAGCCCGGGAAACUGGGUCUAAUACCGGAUACGACCGCUUCCCGCAUGGGAUGGCGGUGGAAAGUUUUUUCGGUUGGGGAUGGGCUCGCGGCCUAUCAGCUUGUUGGUGGGGUAGUGGCCUACCAAGGCGACGACGGGUAGCCGGCCUGAGAGGGCGACCGGCCACACUGGGACUGAGACACGGCCCAGACUCCUACGGGAGGCAGCAGUGGGGAAUAUUGCGCAAUGGGCGAAAGCCUGACGCAGCGACGCCGCGUGGGGGAUGACGGCCUUCGGGUUGUAAACCUCUUUCAGCAGGGACGAAGUUGACGUGUACCUGCAGAAGAAGCGCCGGCUAACUACGUGCCAGCAGCCGCGGUAAUACGUAGGGCGCAAGCGUUGUCCGGAAUUAUUGGGCGUAAAGAGCUCGUAGGUGGCUU
This 530-nucleotide ribosomal RNA is filed under the name Streptosporangium terrae. RNAcentral describes it as "bacterial SSU rRNA". It matches the Rfam family "Bacterial small subunit ribosomal RNA", at positions 31 to 581 of the family's 1533-position model. The record is from RNAcentral. Lineage: Bacteria; Bacillati; Actinomycetota; Actinomycetes; Streptosporangiales; Streptosporangiaceae.